Cucumis melo (muskmelon) is the source of this 964-nucleotide long non-coding RNA. RefSeq lists it as uncharacterized. The transcript is spliced from 3 exons. The record is from RefSeq and is a predicted model, not a curated record. NCBI's taxonomy places the organism in Eukaryota, Viridiplantae, Streptophyta, Magnoliopsida, Cucurbitales, Cucurbitaceae.
CCCUCAGUAUCAGAGCUUGUGUGGGGAACUCUUCACUUUUGGCCUAACCAAAACCAGACCUGCCUAAACCUUAUAUCCUAGCCGGUUAGGUCAAGUAGAAUGCGUUGAGCUCCCUCAGUAUCAGAGCUUGUGUGGGGAACUCUUCACUUUUGGCCUAACCAAAACCAGACCUGCCAAGCCCUUAUAGCCUAGCCGGUUAGGUCAAGUAGAAUGCGUUGAGCUCCCUCAGUAUCAGAGCUUGUGUGGGGAACUCUUCACUUUUGGCCUAACCAAAACCAGACCUGCCUAGCCCUUAUAUCCCAGCCGGUUAGGUCAAGUAGAAUGCGUUGAGCUCCCUCAGUAUCAGAGCUUGUGUGGGGAACUCUUCACUUUUGGCCUAACCAAAACCAGACCUGCCUAGCCCUUAUAUCCCAGCCGGUUAGGUCAAGUAGAAUGCGUUGAGCUCCCUCAGUAUCAGAGCUUGUGUGGGGAACUCUUCACUUUUGGCCUAACCAAAACCAGACCUGCCUAGCCCUUAUAUCCCAGCCGGUUAGGUCAAGUAGAAUGCGUUGAGCUCCCUCAGUAUCAGAGCUUGUGUGGGGAACUCUUCACUUUUGGCCUAACCAAGACCAGACCUGCCUAACCCUUAUAUCCCAGCCGGUUAGGUCAAGUAGAAUGCGUUGAGCUCCCUCAGUAUCAGAGCUUGUGUGGGGAACUCUUCACUUUUGGCCUAACCAAAACCAGACCUGCCUAGCCCUUAUAUCCCAGCCGGUUAGGUCAAGUAGAAUGCGUUGAGCUCCCUCAGUAUCAGAGCUUGUGUGGGGAACUCUUCACUUUUGGACGAACUAAAACCAGACCUGCCUAAACCUUAUAUCCCAGCCGGUUAGGUCAAGUAGAAUGCGUUGAGCUCCCUCAGUAUCAGAGCUUGUGUGGGGAACUCUUCACUUUUGGCCUAACCAAAACCGGACCUGCCUAAACCUUAUAU